AGAGUUUGAUCCUGGCUCAGGACGAACGCUGGCGGCGUGCUUAACACAUGCAAGUCGAACGGAAAGGCCCUUCGGGGUACUCGAGUGGCGAACGGGUGAGUAACACGUGGGUGAUCUGCCCUGCACUUUGGGAUAAGCCUGGGAAACUGGGUCUAAUACCGAAUAUGAUCAUGGCCUUCAUGGGUUGUGGUGGAAAGCUUUUGCGGUGUGGGAUGGGCCCGCGGCCUAUCAGCUUGUUGGUGGGGUAAUGGCCUACCAAGGCGACGACGGGUAGCCGGCCUGAGAGGGUGACCGGCCACACUGGGACUGAGAUACGGCCCAGACUCCUACGGGAGGCAGCAGUGGGGAAUAUUGCACAAUGGGCGCAAGCCUGAUGCAGCGACGCCGCGUGGGGGAUGACGGCCUUCGGGUUGUAAACCUCUUUCAGUCACGACGAAGCGCAAGUGACGGUAGUGACAGAAGAAGCACCGGCCAACUACGUGCCAGCAGCCGCGGUAAUUC
Molecule: ribosomal RNA, 501 nt
Filed under: uncultured bacterium
Lineage: Bacteria
Description: bacterial SSU rRNA
Rfam family: Bacterial small subunit ribosomal RNA
Source: RNAcentral